GCCUGGGUGGCUCAGUCGGUUGAGCAUCUGACUUCAGCUCAGGUCAUGAUCUCGGGGUUCAUGAGUUCGAGCCCCGCGUCAGGCU
This 85-nucleotide transfer RNA is filed under the name Felis catus (domestic cat). It matches the Rfam family "tRNA". From Rfam's summary of the family: Transfer RNA (tRNA) molecules are approximately 80 nucleotides in length. Their secondary structure includes four short double-helical elements and three loops (D, anti-codon, and T loops). The record is from Rfam by way of RNAcentral. Lineage: Eukaryota; Metazoa; Chordata; Mammalia; Carnivora; Felidae.